UUCCAGACUCCUACGGGAGGCAGCAGUGGGGAAUAUUGCACAAUGGGGGGAACCCUGAUGCAGCGACGCCGCGUGGGUGAAGGAGUAUUUCGGUAUGUAAAGCUCUAUCAGCAGGGAAGAAAAUGACAGUACCUGACCAAGAAGCCCCGGCUAACUACGUGCCAGCAGCCGCGGUAAUACGUAGGGGGCAAGCGUUAUCCGGAUUUACUGGGUGUAAAGGGAGCGUAGACGGUUAUGUAAGUCUGGAGUGAAAGCCCGGGGCCCAACCCCGGGACUGCUCUUGGAACUGCGUGGCUGGAGUGCAGGAGGGGCAGGCGGAAUUCCUGGUGUAGCGGUGAAAUGCGUAGAUAUCAGGAGGAACACCGGUGGCGAAGGCGGCCUGCUGGACUGCAACUGACGUUGAGGCCCGAAAGCGUGGGGAGCAAACAGGAUUAGAUACCCCGGUA
RNAcentral lists this ribosomal RNA (446 nucleotides) under uncultured bacterium. RNAcentral's name for it is "bacterial SSU rRNA". It matches the Rfam family "Bacterial small subunit ribosomal RNA", at positions 329 to 792 of the family's 1533-position model. The record is from RNAcentral.